Molecule: ribosomal RNA, 305 nt
Filed under: uncultured bacterium
Lineage: Bacteria
Description: bacterial SSU rRNA
Rfam family: Bacterial small subunit ribosomal RNA
Source: RNAcentral
ACCUACGGGGGGCAGCAGUAGGGAAUUUUCGUCAAUGGGCGCAAGCCUGAACGAGCAAUGCCGCGUGAACGAGGAAGGUCUUCGGAUCGUAAAGUUCUGUUGCAGGGGAAAAAGAGCGGAGAGAGGAAAUGCUUUCUGAUUGAUAUUACCCUUCGAGGAAGUCACGGCUAACUACGUGCCAGCAGCCGCGGUAAUACGUAGGUGGCGAGCGUUAUCCGGAAUGAUUGGGCGUAAAGGGUGCGUAGGCGGCCUGCUAAGUCUGGAGUGAAAGGUACCGGCUCAACCGGUACAGGCUCUGGAAACCG